CGAGUGCGUUCAGAGUUUGAUCCUGGCUCAGGACGAACGCUGGCGGCGUGCCUAAUACAUGCAAGUCGAGCGAAGAGUUAAUGGUGCUUGCACCAAUAACACUUAGCGGCGAACGGGUGAGUAACGUGUAAAGAACUUGCCCUCUAGACUGGGAUAACAGAUAGAAAUGUCUGAUAAUACCGGAUAUUAUUGUUACAUGGCAUCAUGUAGGAAUGAAAGGAUAAGAUUGCUAGAGGAGAGCUUUGCAUCCUAUUAGCUAGUUGGUAAGGUAGCGGCUUACCAAGGCGAUGAUAGGUAGCCGGCCUGAGAGGGUGGACGGCCACAAGGGGACUGAGAUACGGCCCUU
RNAcentral lists this ribosomal RNA (346 nucleotides) under uncultured bacterium. Its description in RNAcentral is "bacterial SSU rRNA". It matches the Rfam family "Bacterial small subunit ribosomal RNA", at positions 1 to 334 of the family's 1533-position model. The record is from RNAcentral.